This is an unclassified non-coding RNA of Cricetulus griseus (Chinese hamster), 323 nucleotides long. Its record names the gene 7SK. It matches the Rfam family "7SK RNA". Rfam says of the family: 7SK was discovered as an abundant small nuclear RNA in the mid-70s but a possible function has only recently been suggested. Two independent studies have found that 7SK RNA binds the CDK9/cyclin T complex (known as elongation factor P-TEFb). The record is from Ensembl. Lineage: Eukaryota; Metazoa; Chordata; Mammalia; Rodentia; Cricetidae.
AGAAGUGACGGAGAUCGGGCUCCAUCAUUUGUCACCCCACUGUCAGGGUUUAUUCACAUGAUCAAGCUGGCUAGUUUGUUUGUUUGUUUGUUUUUCCCUUCCUCACUUACAGCUCCUUGUGUGUUCUUCCUGGAGCUGCACACUCAAAGUGUUCAGGUGCAGCUCUGACCUGUCUUCACUCAAGCAUACAUCCCUAGGUGCGCUCUCCAGGUAGAUCCCCUCAAACAGGCUCUCAAGGUCCAAACGAGUACAAGUAUCAGUAUGCCUAUAGUUACUGAAGGUAGAACUCUUGGGAGUGUAAAUCACUUGUUUUACAUUGUCCU